Molecule: long non-coding RNA, 789 nt
Filed under: Setaria italica (foxtail millet)
Lineage: Eukaryota; Viridiplantae; Streptophyta; Magnoliopsida; Poales; Poaceae
Description: long non-coding RNA (SITA_LNC005690)
Source: RNAcentral
AUUAUUUCUCGAUUACUAGGGAAGCCGCUCUUAGCACACAAUCCACAAAACACUGGGCAACCCAAUUUUUCAGUACGCGGUCUCAGCCUCGCUUACCCAUUAAGCGAGUCAAUUCUCCCUCGAUACCCCUCCAGGCCUCCACUACCGACGCCUGCUGCCCUCCGCGCCCGCCGCCUCCUAGGUCGACAGCACUCGCCACCUCCCCGCCCUCCGGCGACGGCUUCCCUUCCUUCCAGCAUCCGCCUCCCAGCCAUCCACAUCUGCCUCCGAGAGCGAGUUGUCGCUACAUCUGACGGGGAGCACGGACGGCCGGGGCAUGCCGCUUGCCCCGCGCAAGCUCGCAGCAGCGGGUCCGACGGGUGGAAACCUUCGGUGCCGAGGCCGACGGAGCAACAGUAGCAGCUUGGCUAGCAGUGGAGGUAGGGCAGCACCGCAGCAGCAGUGUAUGACCAGGGAGCAAGGCCCGCGUGGGGCAAAGGAGUCUGGAUGGGCGUUGGCAUGGCGUGGAGCAACAGAAGAGAGGAGAAACGGAUAAGGAAGGGAAUGAAGACCGAGAAAUGGAGGAAACAAGAAAUGGCAAACGGACGGCAGCGGAAAUAGAAGUAAAGAAAAAGAAGGGAGGAAAAAAGAGAAAAAGAAAACGGAAAAGAAAAAACGAGUGAUCAUCAUCCUUAGGGGUAUCUCAGCAUUUCACCACUCAGGGUAGAGAAUUGAUGGGAAAAAAAGUAGAAGUGCCAAACAUCCAGCUUAUUCAGACAGUAGAUUCUUCUGGUGCCUAGCUUACCAGAC